Long non-coding RNA from Oxyura jamaicensis (ruddy duck), 681 nucleotides. RefSeq lists it as uncharacterized. The transcript has 2 exons. The record is from RefSeq and is a predicted model, not a curated record. NCBI's taxonomy places the organism in Eukaryota, Metazoa, Chordata, Aves, Anseriformes, Anatidae.
GGACGGGAAACCUUCCAGCGGCACAGCUUUCCACCGAGCACCGUGGGACUGUCGGUGUCAUGCACUUCGCAAGUCAGAACACCCUGGCAAGCUCUGCUGAGGGCAUCAGCUAACUGCCUGCCCUUUUACCGGUGCCGGUAGCUGAUGCGCCUCUGCAGCCUGUUAAAAAAACAACAAGACAGGCAUAGGAGAAAAUAGGAGCUGCUGUGGCGUCCGGCCUGUGCCAGGAGGGUUUCCCACCUCACCUGGCAGCUCACCUGAUAGAUUGCAGCCACGUUCGGAGGGUGAUAGUCCAGAAAAGGACAGUGAAAAGAUGACAAUAGAUGGAGAAAAAUUACCAUUGAUUAGUGCCAAACGUAAUGGUCUGUGGUGCCUCUGCAGUAAAAGCCAGUCAGUGCGAUAGCAUCCACUCAAUUUCAUUCAUUCCAAAAGUUACAGCCGGGAGGCAGGGGGGUAGCAGCAAGCAAUAAGCAAGCUUGCAAUAAGCUUUUGAUUCCUCUGACCUUAGAGCCUUUCGGAGCAGCUGUCCUGGGGGGGCCAGCAGACAAAUGCAGUCUUACGCAGCCUCUCGGAAAACAAACAGAAGUGAUUAGGUGUUUAAUUUUAUUUGCAGCCUAAUUUUGCUUAUUUUCUAAAAGGUCACAAUUUAAUGCGUGCACAGUAAAGGUCAUACUCAAACAC